RNAcentral lists this unclassified non-coding RNA (245 nucleotides) under soil metagenome. Its description in RNAcentral is "partial contains small subunit ribosomal RNA, internal transcribed spacer 1, and 5.8S ribosomal RNA". The record is from RNAcentral.
UUUCCGUAGGUGAACCUGCGGAAGGAUCAUUAACAAAUUCCAAAACGCGUCUUUUGACCACGCUCAACUUUUUCAUCCUAGAGAAAGAGGGAGAGAAAGGUAGGUGGGGGUCAAGUUACACAAAAGACACACACAAUCCUAACAACAAACAUUACAUUUAUAUUGACACAACUUAUGGAGAACCAAACGAAUAAUAAAUCGUUGAAACAACAAAACAACUUUUAACAAUGGAUCUCUCGGCUCUU